GGUCAAGAAGAGAAGCGCAAACGGUGGAUGCCUUGGCAGUAAGAGGCGAAGAAGGACGUGGAAUCCUGCGAAAAGCUAUGGGGAGCUGGAAACGAGCGUUGAGCCAUAGAUGUCCGAAUGGGGGAACCCGGCUGCAGCGAUGCGGUCAUUUGCAUUUGAAUACAUAGGAUGCAAAGGCGAACUCGGGGAACUGAAACAUCUAAGUACCCGAAGGAAAAGAAAUCAAGAGAGAUUCUCCAAGUAGCGGCGAGCGAACGGGGAGGAGCCUGGCGUGAUUUAUUAUUGAACUGAGUAGAACAAUUUGGGAAAGUUGGCGAUAGAGGGUGAAAGCCCCGUAUACGAAGGUUUGAUGAGGAACUAGGCACGCGAACAAGUAGGCCGGGACACGUGAAAUCCUGGUUGAAGAUGGGUGGACCAUCAUCCAAGGCUAAAUACUACUUACUGACCGAUAGUGAACCAGUACCGUGAGGGAAAGGUGAAAAGAACCCCGGAGAGGGGAGUGAAAUAGAAUCUGAAACCGUUUGCGUACAAGCAGUGGGAGCAUGGUUUAGGCUGUGUGACUGCGUACCUUUUGUAUAAUGGGUCAGCGAGUUACUUUCAGUGGCGAGGUUAACUGCAUAAGGGAGCCGUAGAGAAAUCGAGUCUGAAUAGGGCGAUAGUCGCUGGGAGUAGACCCGAAACCGGGCGAUCUAGCCAUGUGCAGGAUGAAGGUUGGGUAACACCAACUGGAGGUCCGAACCGGGUAAUGUUGAAAAAUUAUCGGAUGACGUGUGGCUAGGAGUGAAAGGCUAAUCAAGCCCGGAGAUAGCUGGUUCUCCCCGAAAGCUAUUUAGGUAGCGCCUCGUGAAUGAUUACUGGGGGUAGAGCACUGUUUCGGCUAGGGGGCUGUCAUGGCUUACCAAACCGAUGCAAACUCCGAAUACCGGCUAAUUG
RNAcentral lists this ribosomal RNA (933 nucleotides) under Legionella pneumophila. Its description in RNAcentral is "partial 23S ribosomal RNA". It matches the Rfam family "Bacterial large subunit ribosomal RNA", at positions 1 to 972 of the family's 2925-position model. The record is from RNAcentral. Lineage: Bacteria; Pseudomonadati; Pseudomonadota; Gammaproteobacteria; Legionellales; Legionellaceae.